UUACGGCUAUACCACGUUGAAACACCGAUCCUCGUACGAUCAUCGGAGUUAAGCAACGUCGACCCUGGUCAGUACCUAGAUAGGUGACCGCUUUGGGAAUACCACCUGCUGUAAG
Molecule: non-coding RNA, 115 nt
Organism: Acanthosepion pharaonis
Lineage: Eukaryota; Metazoa; Mollusca; Cephalopoda; Sepiida; Sepiidae
Source: the annotation of a GenBank genome assembly